Molecule: ribosomal RNA, 497 nt
Filed under: uncultured bacterium
Lineage: Bacteria
Description: partial 16S ribosomal RNA
Rfam family: Bacterial small subunit ribosomal RNA
Source: RNAcentral
GAUGAACGCUGGCGGCGUGCCUAAUACAUGCAAGUCGAGCGAACAGACGAGGAGCUUGCUCCUCUGACGUUAGCGGCGGACGGGUGAGUAACACGUGGAUAACCUACCUAUAAGACUGGGAUAACUUCGGGAAACCGGAGCUAAUACCGGAUAAUAUAUUGAACCGCAUGGUUCAAUAGUGAAAGACGGUUUUGCUGUCACUUAUAGACGGAUCCGCGCCGCAUUAGCUAGUUGGUAAGGUAACGGCUUACCAAGGCAACGAUGCGUAGCCGACCUGAGAGGGUGAUCGGCCACACUGGAACUGAGACACGGUCCAGACUCCUACGGGAGGCAGCAGUAGGGAAUCUUCCGCAAUGGGCGAAGGCCUGACGGAGCAACGCCGCGUGAGUGAUGAAGGUCUUCGGAUCGUAAAACUCUGUUAUUAGGGAAGAACAAAUGUGUAAGUAACUAUGCACGUCUUGACGGUACCUAAUCAGAAAGCCACGGCUAACUACGUG